GGCCCUGUGGCCUAAUGGUAAGGCGUUGGUUUUCGGCACCAAAGAUUGUGCGUUCGAGUCGCAUCGGGGUCG
RNAcentral lists this transfer RNA (72 nucleotides) under Pyronema omphalodes CBS 100304. Its description in RNAcentral is "tRNA-Arg". It matches the Rfam family "tRNA". Rfam says of the family: Transfer RNA (tRNA) molecules are approximately 80 nucleotides in length. Their secondary structure includes four short double-helical elements and three loops (D, anti-codon, and T loops). Further hydrogen bonds mediate the characteristic L-shaped molecular structure. tRNAs have two regions of fundamental functional importance: the anti-codon, which is responsible for specific mRNA codon recognition, and the 3' end, to which the tRNAs corresponding amino acid is attached (by aminoacyl-tRNA synthetases). tRNAs cope with the degeneracy of the genetic code in two manners: having more than one tRNA (with a specific anti-codon) for a particular amino acid; and 'wobble' base-pairing, i.e. permitting non-standard base-pairing at the 3rd anti-codon position. Lineage: Eukaryota; Fungi; Ascomycota; Pezizomycetes; Pezizales; Pyronemataceae. The record is from RNAcentral.